This 1333-nucleotide ribosomal RNA is filed under the name Brassica napus (rape). RNAcentral's name for it is "SSU rRNA". It matches the Rfam family "Eukaryotic small subunit ribosomal RNA", at positions 638 to 1770 of the family's 1831-position model. Lineage: Eukaryota; Viridiplantae; Streptophyta; Magnoliopsida; Brassicales; Brassicaceae. The record is from RNAcentral.
AUUUCGAUUACUCAUUCCCUCUUCUACUAUGCAGGUAACCUUAGGGGAUUGGGCGUUUGCGGGGUGUGGAGGACGAGGCCAGUCGUAGAUUUCCGUUGUUGUUUGCAAGGCGCAAGAUGUUGAUGUUUUCACUCGUUUUGUUUUUCAUGGGUACCCGUUGACUCGUUUGUUUUAUUUUCUGCUGCGUUUAUCUUUAAGGACUUUAGUCGAGUUCCCAACUUUGUAAAAUAAAUAAAAUUAUGUUUGUUUUAAUAAAAUUCCCGUGGAACGCUGAUAUUUGAGUUUAGUCCAAACUUAACACAACUCUUGACCAAGGUACGGGUUGGCAAGCCUUAGGCCGAGGUUGAGAGGGACGGUACAGUGGUCGGACUGGUCGAGACUUUGAAUUUGUUUUGAAGUCUUAACUGGUACGACUGCGGUACUGUCAACCCUUGUAACGCUUCCGGGACGUUCCGGGUUGGUCCAGCCUAGGACGGCCCGGGGGUGUUACAGUCGGGGGCAUUCGUAUUUCAUAGUCAAAGGUGAAAUUCUUGGAUUUAUGAAAGAUGAACAACUGCGAAAGCAUUUGCCAAGGAUGUUUUCAUUAAUCAAGAACGAAAGUUGGGGGCUCGAAGACGAUCAGAUACCGUUCUAGUCUUAACCAUAAACGAUGCCGACCAGGGAUCAGCGGAUGUUGCUUUUUAGGACUCCGCUGGCACCUUAUGAGAAAUAAAAGUUUUUGGGUUCCGGGGGGAGUAUGGUCGCAAGGCUGAAACUUAAUGGAAGGGCACCAUCAGGGGGAAACUUACCAGGUCCAAACAUAGUAAGGAUUGACAGACUGAGAGCUCUUUAUUGAUUCUAUGGGUGGUGGUGCAUGGCUGUUCUUAGCUGGUGGAGCGAUUUGUCUGGUUAAUUCCGGUAACGAACGAGAUCUCAGCCUGCUAACUAGCUACGUGGAGGCAUCCCUUCACGAUUGGCUUCCUAGAGGGACUAUGGCCGUUUAGGCCAAGGAAGUUUGAGGCAAUAACAGGUCUGUGAUGCCCUUAGAUGUUCUGGGCCACACGCGUGCUACACUGAUAUAAUCCACGAGUUCACACCUUGACCCACAGGCCCGGGUAAUCUUUGAAAUUUCAUCGUGAUGGGGAUAGAUCAUUGCAAUUGUUGGUCUUCAACGAGGAAUUCCUAGUAAGCGCGAGUCAUCAGCUCCCAUUAACUACGUCCCUGCCCUUUGUACACACCGCCCGUCGCUCCUACCAAUUGAAUGAUCCAGUGAAGUGUUCGGAUCGUGGCGACGUGGGUGGUGUAACACCCCGAUCUGGCCGACAAGGCCGUGGUCGAAGCCUUAGAUCCUUUC